CUUGGUGACCAUAGCGAUCUGGUAACACCCAUGUCUUUUAAGACUCAAACCAUACCGAACAUGUAGGUUAAGCGGAUCAGCGGGGAUGAUACUUAAUCCUUUGGAUUUUGGGAAAGUACCUCGUCGCCAAGA
Molecule: ribosomal RNA, 132 nt
Filed under: candidate division WWE3 bacterium
Lineage: Bacteria; candidate division WWE3
Source: RNAcentral